GCCAUAUCUCAGUGGUACAGCAUCUGCUUUGCAUGCAAAAGGUCCCUAGUUCAAUCCCCGGCAUUUGCA
Molecule: non-coding RNA, 69 nt
Organism: Podarcis lilfordi (Lilford's wall lizard)
Lineage: Eukaryota; Metazoa; Chordata; Lepidosauria; Squamata; Lacertidae
Source: the annotation of a GenBank genome assembly